This 451-nucleotide long non-coding RNA is filed under the name Gallus gallus (chicken). The record is from RNAcentral. Lineage: Eukaryota; Metazoa; Chordata; Aves; Galliformes; Phasianidae.
AGACAUUCUGCAAAUACAAGAAACAACUGCUUCUGAAAGGAAAUUUCUUUUGCAAUGCCUCCAAAAGUGACAUCCAUUGAAAAAGUCUCACCUCUCUAAGCAGGCACUGUACAUAUUCAACUGAAGAGAGCCUUACAGAUUUGUUCCUGCUAAGAAGCUAGCGUGACGUUACCACAGUGUUGCUCCGUCAGCGGGCAGUGGCACAUAGCAGGCAUGGACCCAGGCAUGCAGUACAGCCAGCACACAGCCCUGCCGAGAGCCCACCAUGCACAUCUCUGCCUUGCUUCACCACUUUGGCCCAAGCUCCUGAGCCAAUGUCUCUGUCCCACAUUCAGCUCCAAGCAUUCUGAAGAAUGUCGAGGAGCAGAGUGUGAGUGGCUGUGAAAUUAAGCUGGGACUCAGGAGAGCAGUCUAUAAUUGUCACAAGGUUCCUGUGCGGCCAUUGCAAGGU